AGAGUUUGAUCCUGGCUCAGGAUGAACGCUGGCGGUAUGCGUAACACAUGCAAGUCGAACGAAGUUUUUCGGAACUUAGUGGCGGACGGGUGAGUAACGCGUGAGAAUCUGCCUUAAGGAUUGGGACAACAGUGGGAAACCGCUGCUAAUACCAAAUAUGCCUUUUAGUGAAACGGGUAAAACCGCCUUAAGAUGAGCUCGCGUCUGAUUAGCUAGUUGGUGUGGUAAGAGCGCACCAAGGCAACGAUCAGUAGCUGGUCUGAGAGGACGACCAGCCACACUGGGACUGAGACACGGCCCAGACUCCUACGGGAGGCAGCAGUGAGGAAUUUUCCGCAAUGGGCGAAAGCCUGACGGAGCAAUACCGCGUGAGGGAGGAAGGUUCUUGGAUUGUAAACCUCUUUUCUCAGAGAAGAAUAAUGACGGUAUCUGAGGAAUAAGCAUCGGCUAACUCCGUGCCAGCAGCCGCGGUAAUACGGAGGAUGCAAGCGUUAUCCGGAAUGAUUGGGCGUAAAGGGUCUGUAGGUGGUUGUUCAAGUCUGCUGUUAAAGCGUCUGGCUUAACCAGAUAAAGGCGGUGGAAACUGAACGACUAGAGUGCGGUAGGGGUAGAGGGAAUUCCCAGUGUAGCGGUGAAAUGCGUAGAUAUUGGGAAGAACACCUGUGGCGAAAGCGCUCUACUGGACCGCGACUGACACUGAUGGACGAAAGCUAGGGGAGCAAAUGGGAUUAGAUACCCCCGUAGUCC
This 747-nucleotide ribosomal RNA is filed under the name uncultured cyanobacterium. RNAcentral's name for it is "bacterial SSU rRNA". It matches the Rfam family "Bacterial small subunit ribosomal RNA", at positions 8 to 796 of the family's 1533-position model. Lineage: Bacteria; Bacillati; Cyanobacteriota. The record is from RNAcentral.